CCCUUAGAUGUUCUGGGCCGCACGCGCGCUACACUGACGAUGGCAACGAGUUUUUCCUUCGCCGAAAGGUGUGGGUAAUCUUUUGAAACAUCGUCGUGCUGGGGAUAGAUCAUUGCAAUUUUUGAUCUUGAACGAGGAAUUCCUAGUAAGCGCGAGUCAUCAGCUCGCGUUGAUUACGUCCCUGCCCUUUGUACACACCGCCCGUCGCUCCUACCGAUUUCGAGUGGUCCGGUGAAAUAUUUGGAUUACGUUGGUUUCGGCUAACGUGAGAAAUCUCUUGAACCAUAUCACUUAGAGGAAGGAGAAGUCGUAACA
This 315-nucleotide ribosomal RNA is filed under the name uncultured eukaryote. Its description in RNAcentral is "partial 18S ribosomal RNA". It matches the Rfam family "Eukaryotic small subunit ribosomal RNA", at positions 1470 to 1796 of the family's 1831-position model. The record is from RNAcentral.